CGGUGAAACUGCGAAUGGCUCAUUAAAUCAGUUAUCGUUUAUUUGAUAGUACCUUACUACAUGGAUAACCGUGGUAAUUCUAGAGCUAAUACAUGCUAAAAACCUCGACUUCGGAAGGGGUGUAUUUAUUAGAUAAAAAACCAAUGCCCUUCGGGGCUCCUUGGUGAAUCAUAAUAACUUAACGAAUCGCAUGGCCUUGCGCCGGCGAUGGUUCAUUCAAAUUUCUGCCCUAUCAACUUUCGAUGGUAGGAUAGUGGCCUACCAUGGUAUCAACGGGUAACGGGGAAUUAGGGUUCGACUCCGGAGAGGGAGCCUGAGAAACGGCUACCACAUCCAAGGAAGGCAGCAGGCGCGCAAAUUACCCAAUCCCGACACGGGGAGGUAGUGACAAUAAAUACUGAUACAGGGCUCUUUUGGGUCUUGUAAUUGGAAUGAGUACAAUUUAAAUCCCUUAACGAGGAACAAUUGGAGGGCAAGUCUGGUGCCAGCAGCCGCGGUAAUUCCAGCUCCAAUAGCGUAUAUUAAAGUUGUUGCAGUUAAAAAGCUCGUAGUUGAACCUUGGGCCUGGCUGGCCGGUCCGCCUCACCGCGUGUACUGGUCCGGCCGGGCCUUUCCUUCUGGGGAACCUCAUGCCCUUCACUGGGCGUGUUGGGGAACCAGGACUUUUACUUUGAAAAAAUUAGAGUGUUCAAAGCAGGCCUUUGCUCGAAUACAUUAGCAUGGAAUAAUAGAAUAGGACGUGUGGUUCUAUUUUGUUGGUUUCUAGGACCGCCGUAAUGAUUAAUAGGGAUAGUCGGGGGCAUCAGUAUUCAAUCGUCAGAGGUGAAAUUCUUGGAUUGAUUGAAGACUAACUACUGCGAAAGCAUUUGCCAAGGAUGUUUUCAUUAAUCAGUGAACGAAAGUUAGGGGAUCGAAGACGAUCAGAUACCGUCGUAGUCUUAACCAUAAACUAUGCCGACUAGGGAUCGGACGGUGUUAGUAUUUUGACCCGUUCGGCACCUUACGAGAAAUCAAAGUUUU
Molecule: ribosomal RNA, 1020 nt
Filed under: Cladosporium cladosporioides
Lineage: Eukaryota; Fungi; Ascomycota; Dothideomycetes; Cladosporiales; Cladosporiaceae
Description: SSU rRNA
Rfam family: Eukaryotic small subunit ribosomal RNA
Source: RNAcentral